GGAAGCAAUGCAACAUAUUCCCCCUGUAUUUCAGGGACUUACAACUAAAAGUUGACAAGGUCCUGUCAGGAUUUAUGACUAAUAUUUUGGGUCUGGGGAAUUAGUGUGAACAAGAAAUCUCAUCUUUCAGAUGCAUUGCAUAUAGAGAGGCUCUCACCUGCAGCUCCUAUUCUACUUAAUAUAUGGUAAUCCAGGCAACUUUCCCAUUCAUCAGUAAACAUCCAGCAUUCCCCAGAUUCCUCCAUCAUUUUAAGUGAGGUCCUCCACUAAAACCUGCCACAUUUCUAGCAGCAUGCAAAUCAUGCAAUCCUGUGGGCUCACAAGGUUUACUUCCUUCUGAACAUAGAUGUUAUUUCCACUUGGAGAGAAGACCAGCUUUUCUCACUUGUUGUGAGAAAAGCAGCAUGCUUCUAUGGCGUGCAAGUUCAAGGCCACAUGAAUUUUGCUGUUCAGAGAGAGAUAAAGCAAGACUACAAAGGCAAAUACCUACAACAUGAAAUACAACCUGAUUUCUACUCAUCUCCAUCAGAAGCUCCAGUGCUGACCACAAAUACACAGCAUUGAGACAGGCUGGCAAUGCUCUAGUAUGCUGGUGAAAUGGUUACAGGGGGCUGAAUACACUGUGAGUGCAGGUGUGAUGGCUCACAGGCAAUCAUCAGCAGGGCUGAAACAGACAGGGGAGCCUUAACCACACCCAGCUUCCUUCUGGCUUUUCACUGAUUUUUCAGAGAGAAGCUUCCUUCAAGAAGCAGGACAGAGCAGAGAAGGUUGGGAGGGCAUGAAGUAGUUUGUGUGUGCCUUUGACAUUGCAAAAUAUGUUAAAUUAGCAGUGUGAAGAUCCUGCCUGAUCAUCAGCAGGAUCACUGUGUAGGAUGAUGUAUUUAGUUUGUGUGCAAGUUUUUGGUAGUGGAGGGUUGCACAGGUGGGUUCUGUGAGAAGCUUCUAGAUGUUUCCCCGUGUCUAACAGAGCCAAUGCUAGCAUGCUCCAAGACACUGGCUGCUGGGCAUGACUGGGCUCAUUAGCAAUGGUGUUAGAGAUUCUGGGAUAACACAGUUAGGAAAGGGGGAAAAAUCCUGCACAACCACAGCCAGACAGAGGAGUGAAGGUGUGUCAGAAACAGCCCUGCAGACACCCAGGUCAGGACAGAAGCAGGAAGAGGAGCUGCUCCAGGUACCAGAACACAUUUGCCUGCAGCCCAUGGGGGUCCAUGAGGGAGCAGAGAUCCAUCUGCAGUCCAUGGAGGACCCCACAAUAGAGCAGGUGGGUGCCUGAAAGAGGCUGUGACCCUGUGGAAAGCCCAUAUUAUUUCUGUGUUUUCACUCCUCUGUCCAGCUGAGUAAUAGAGAAGCUCUGAUUGCUCCUGAGGUCCAGCCAGGGUCACCCCACCACAGACAGUCUACUCAUCUCCAUGCUUGAAGUAAAGCAGCAGUUUGCAGUUUCAGUGGAGAACUUGGAGAACACAGACACCUGUGCUGUCAGUCUGACUCACGGGGGAAUUUGGCUGCAACGGUUCCACUUCAGCUAAUCCUGGAUGUUGUGUCAGAAGAAGAACACAUGGAGCACAUGAGUGUGUGUGUGUGUGUGUGUGUGAGUGUGUGAGGAGGGGGUCCAGGAUAGGGAACAGACUUUUGUCUGGAUCUGCCAACCACAUCACAUCUUUCUCCUCCUUUACUGUUCACCUUGUCAUUUCACCUUUGAGACACUUUGUCCCUUACGACACAAAAACCAUUUAAGGGAAGAUGCAUCUGCUUAAAAAAUAAACCACUGCUUUCCUGCUAGCCCCACACUAGCCUGUGCUGCUUGUUGACUCCAUCUCAGCCAUUCAGCAUCUGCUCCAAGUGCUGCUUCAAAGUAAGCUCUGCUGGUGACAAGACAACAGCCAAGCAGACUAUGGAGCAUUCAGUAAAGUAGGGAUUAACACCCAAGUAAAAAGUAGCAAAGGAAAUGUAUGCUGCAGACACAAUCAGCACCACAACUGGCCCAGCCUUGUGUCCUGCCUGGCAAUGGUCUCCUACUAUAGUUGCCUGCAAAAUUAAUAAGAAGGUGCCCCAGCAUGCCAAACGCCAGCAAACUGUCCCUGUCCCAGUAUUCACUCACCUGCCUGAUCCAGGAUGUGUCAGAGGGUGGAUGGUCAGAUAACUGCAUGCUGACAAGUCACACACAGGAAGCCUCUUUAGGGAGAGUCAAGAGGGGGCUGAAUUCUCCCCCUACCAUGGGAACACCUACAGCCCUAACAAAUGACUCCAAGUACUUCUUGAGAUGAUUUAGUGUAAUCUAAAAUGGUUACCUGUUCAAUUGGCAGGAUGUGUCUAGCUGCUUUAUGAUGAGAGAAAAUAGUAAUGAAGCAUGGGAAGCAGAAUGGACUUAAUGUGAAUGUGCCUAAACUAAAAAUCAGAGUUGAAUGAAUCCUUAAAAUUAUUUCUCUGGUUUCAGCAUUUAAACAAAAUCAUAACCAGUUUUAAUAACACUUACAAGGUUUUUUAAUAAAUCAAAUGCUGAACAGUUUGUUUGGAGCAUGUUGCUAUGUAGGGGUGGCCUUGGUUUUGCCUACUAUCUUCCCCAAACCAGAAAUGCCAAAAGUAGUCAUAUGCUUGAGUUUCCUGCAGAACUGUUCUUUUUGUGACAUGAGGCAAAGCAGACAAUGCAGGAAUCUGGUGAACAUCAUGCUGUACUAUGCUGAAGAGAUAUUUGAAGAAUCAGACACCCUAAAAGCGCAUUUUCCAUUUGUCCCAAGGUAGUGGGUGAGUCUGGCUAUGAUCAGACAGUGGUGGGUGGAGAGUGGUUUAGGAUGCCAUUGUCAGACUGUCACUGUGCUUGACUACCUGCAGCCCCCUCAGCUGAGGCAGCCUGACUGGCACAAACACUAUUUUAUGGCAGAUGAAGCUGAUUUGCCUCCUUUGCACUGCGGGGUGGAACAAGCAGAUGCUGACUGCUCCAGUCUCUUUGCUGAGAGCUGCUGGCUGGACCUCAGUAACUCAACUGCUUGUGAACCUGCCUGACCAGGAGAAGAUGGAGCUUCCUGCUAUGGGGACAGUGCACGCGGACCCAUGGGAUUUGCUGAAGUGGCAGAUAAAGAGCAAUUAAUACAGUGUGACAGAACUGUAUUUUUUUCAUUUUCAAGGUUGAUGAGAUGAGAUUUUGGGAUGUAUUUCUCUCUCUGUCCCCCACAAUCAGCUAAAUUGUUUCUGAGGCUGAGGACUCUGAUUCCCUGAUGAAUUCUAAUUUCUCAAGUAAGCUGAGAAUUUAAAUUACAUGUGAAAUGAAAUUAAUAUGUCUACUCAAAUUCUGCUGAAUGAUGAACAGGUUCAUGAGCAAAUGAAAUGAGAAAGAAUGAAAUGCUGUCUACAGCUUAUUCAAGCCCAAGUCUUGAUUUCAGUUCACUUGCAUCACUUAGAUGGGGGACAUUGGCAUGAAGCUAGGUAACAUUGAAAUCUUAUCUACCUUUCACCUCUGACAGUAUUUGUCAGUGAGGACUGUCACUGCUUGGAGAGGAUUUCAGGGUACAUACAUAUAUUUGGGGCUUUGCCUGCAGGGU
This is a long non-coding RNA of Passer domesticus (house sparrow), 3536 nucleotides long. RefSeq lists it as uncharacterized. The transcript has 3 exons. NCBI's taxonomy places the organism in Eukaryota, Metazoa, Chordata, Aves, Passeriformes, Passeridae. The record is from RefSeq and is a predicted model, not a curated record.